GACGAAGGUGGCGAGCGUUGUUCGGAAUCACUGGGCAUAAAGCGCACGUAGGCGGCGACGUAAGUUGGGUGUGAAAUCCCUCGGCCAACCGAGGAACUGCGCCCAGUACUGCGUUGCUUGAGGAUCGAAGGGGUGCAUGGAAUUCCCGGUGGAGCGGUGAAAUGCGUUGAUAUCGGGAGGAACUCCGGCGGCGAAAGCGGUGCACUGGUCGAUUACUGACGCUGAGGUGCGAAAGCCAGGGGAGCAAACGGG
This 252-nucleotide ribosomal RNA is filed under the name uncultured bacterium. Its description in RNAcentral is "partial 16S ribosomal RNA". It matches the Rfam family "Bacterial small subunit ribosomal RNA", at positions 524 to 776 of the family's 1533-position model. The record is from RNAcentral.